RNAcentral lists this long non-coding RNA (308 nucleotides) under Elaeis guineensis (African oil palm). RNAcentral describes it as "long non-coding RNA (EGUI_LNC039779)". Lineage: Eukaryota; Viridiplantae; Streptophyta; Magnoliopsida; Arecales; Arecaceae. The record is from RNAcentral.
AUGUCCCUACCAGAAAGAAGAUCGUGUCUACCACUUCUAGGGAAAAAUAAUUUGGUUACCAUGUGGUGUAGCAGUCUCAUCUCAAUAGAAAGAAUCUUUGCCUCUAAUUUGUUCAGACUUUCAGUGAAGGAUCUCCCUAGGAUAACAUUUAUUCCUUCCUCUUUAACUGGGAGCUCCAUGUUGGUAUACCCCUCACAUGGUAAAUGAAGAAUCUGCCCCAAAAGCAUAGGAUCUAGGCUAAUAUCUACACCCUUCACUGUGGAUUUCACUGUUUUAUUACUGUACCCCAAAUUUAGGUAAAACUCUCU